UACGUAGGGUGCAAGCGUUAUCCGGAAUUAUUGGGCGUAAAGAGCUCGUAGGCGGUUUGUCGCGUCUGCUGUGAAAACUGGGGGCUCAACCCCCAGCCUGCAGUGGGUACGGGCAGACUAGAGUGCGGUAGGGGAGAUUGGAAUUCCUGGUGUAGCGGUGGAAUGCGCAGAUAUCAGGAGGAACACCGAUGGCGAAGGCAGAUCUCUGGGCCGUAACUGACGCUGAGGAGCGAAAGCGUGGGGAGCAAACAGG
This 253-nucleotide ribosomal RNA is filed under the name uncultured bacterium. RNAcentral describes it as "partial 16S ribosomal RNA". It matches the Rfam family "Bacterial small subunit ribosomal RNA", at positions 524 to 776 of the family's 1533-position model. The record is from RNAcentral.